UUACAUAUUCCUAGUCUCUAUU
RNAcentral lists this non-coding RNA (22 nucleotides) under Arabidopsis thaliana (thale cress). Lineage: Eukaryota; Viridiplantae; Streptophyta; Magnoliopsida; Brassicales; Brassicaceae. The record is from RNAcentral.